UGCAAAAGAUGUUUUGUAUGCAUGAAUGAAAAAUGAGUUUAGAACUAGUUUGACAUAUUAUUUCUUCAUUUAAAGUAUGUUUAUCUUUUGUUUUUCAAUGGUUGAAAAAUAUAAAUCAAGAGUUGAAAAAGAUAUGCAUGUAAAAAGGUGUUUUAGAUGCAUGAAUGAAGAAUAAGUCAUGAACAAAUUUUGGGGUUUUGAACCAAAGGGAUGGCACGGUUUUGGGGGUGGUUUUGGGUUGUGUUUGUGUUUUAUUGUAAACCACUCUCACAUCCUUUUAAAGCUAGAAAGAAGAAACCUUGUCACUUUUGUUUUUGGGUUUGAAAAAUCACCAAGAAUACACAAAUCUUGAAAAAGUGUUCAUGGUUUUGUUCUUGGUGUUCAUAGUUUGGUUUUUGAUGAAAAUGGUUUUAAUGCAUUGUUUUGUGGUUUUGGGUGAUGUUAAUACCAUCCAUAACCAUAUCAUAUACUUAUAAAACCCUAGACUUGACUAGGAGAUUUCCAUCAAACCUUUUCACCUAAGUUUUAAAUGCCAAAACCAAGUGACAAGCAAAAUUUUGAUUUUUCUACUUUGCAUUGAAUUAAAACUUGAUGGGUGAGACUUCCCAUCCCCCUUAAUGUGGCCGGCCACCCUAGUGGAUUUAUCCACUUGGGGAGUCUUUUGUAAUCUUUGAAAAGUUGAUAUUUUAUACUUUUGAGUAUUUACGUUUUUACCCCUAACUUUUCUUAUUUACAUUUAGGCCCCUACUAACUAGAAAGUUAAAAUAUUUGAUUUUAAUUUUGUUAGUUGUUUAAACUCAUAAUUAUAUUAUGCCCAUAUGCACUAAAUCUAAAUGUUUAUGUUGCAUUCCAUUAUGAUUAUUUAAAUGUGUUUAAGUAGUUAUGAAAUGGAUGACUUUGGACUUAUGCCUUAAACGAUAAUUGAG
This 926-nucleotide long non-coding RNA is filed under the name Malus domestica (apple). RNAcentral's name for it is "long non-coding RNA (MDOM_LNC020193)". The record is from RNAcentral. Lineage: Eukaryota; Viridiplantae; Streptophyta; Magnoliopsida; Rosales; Rosaceae.